RNAcentral lists this RNase P RNA (367 nucleotides) under Tepidiforma flava. RNAcentral's name for it is "RNase P RNA component class A". It matches the Rfam family "Bacterial RNase P class A". Rfam says of the family: Ribonuclease P (RNase P) is a ubiquitous endoribonuclease, found in archaea, bacteria and eukarya as well as chloroplasts and mitochondria. Its best characterised activity is the generation of mature 5'-ends of tRNAs by cleaving the 5'-leader elements of precursor-tRNAs. The record is from RNAcentral. Lineage: Bacteria; Bacillati; Chloroflexota; Tepidiformia; Tepidiformales; Tepidiformaceae.
CCAGCAGGCCGGGCAGCCGCUCCUCGCCCCGCGCGGGAGAGGAAAGUCCGGACUCCACCGGGCAGGGUGCCGGUAACGCCUGGGCGGCGCGAGCCGACGGAAAGUGCAACAGAAACAUACCGCCGCCAGCCCGCGGCACCGGGCAGGCGGUAAGGGUGAAAUGGUGCGGUAAGAGCGCACCGGCGUCCCGGCAACGGGGCGGCCGUGCAAACCCCACCCGGAGCAAGGCCGAAUAGGGAGGAGGGUGCCCGGCCCGUCAUCACUCCCGGGUUGGCCGCUAGAGCGCGUCAGCGAUGCCGCGCCCAGAGAGAUGGCUGCCGCUCCGCUCCGCGGGGUACAGAAUCCGGCUUACAGGCCUGCUGGACGC